RNAcentral lists this ribosomal RNA (384 nucleotides) under uncultured soil bacterium. RNAcentral describes it as "bacterial SSU rRNA". It matches the Rfam family "Bacterial small subunit ribosomal RNA", at positions 343 to 745 of the family's 1533-position model. The record is from RNAcentral.
GGGAGGCAGCAGUGGGGAAUCUUGCACAAUGGGGGCAACCCUGAUGCAGCGACGCCGCGUGAGCGAUGAAGCCCUUCGGGGUGUAAAGCUCUUUCGGCAGGGAAGAUGAUGACGGUACCUGCAGAAGCAGCUGCGGCUAACUACGUGCCAGCAGCCGCGGUAAUACGUAGGCAGCAAGCGUUGUUCGGAGUUACUGGGCGUAAAGGGUGUGUAGGCGGUUUGGUAAGUCUGGUGUGAAAUCUCCCGGCUCAACUGGGAGGGUGCGCCGGAAACUGCCGGACUUGAGUGCGGGAGAGGAGAGUGGAAUUCCUGGUGUAGCGGUGAAAUGCGUAGAUAUCAGGAGGAACACCGGCGGGUAGACGGCUCUCUGGACCGUAACUGACG